UACAGAGGUCCCAAGCGUUGUUCGGAUUCAUUGGGCGUAAAGGGUGCGUAGGCGGCGCGGUAAGUCGGGUGUGAAAUCUCGGAGCUUAACUCCGAAACUGCAUUCGAUACUGCCGUGCUUGAGGACUGGAGAGGAGACUGGAAUUUACGGUGUAGCGGUGAAAUGCGUAGAUAUCGUAAGGAAGACCAGUGGCGAAGGCGAGUCUCUGGACAGUUACUGACACUGAGACACGAAGGCCAGGGGAGCAAACGGG
Molecule: ribosomal RNA, 253 nt
Filed under: uncultured bacterium
Lineage: Bacteria
Description: partial 16S ribosomal RNA
Rfam family: Bacterial small subunit ribosomal RNA
Source: RNAcentral